Phoenix dactylifera (date palm) is the source of this 2741-nucleotide non-coding RNA. The record is from RefSeq and is a predicted model, not a curated record. NCBI's taxonomy places the organism in Eukaryota, Viridiplantae, Streptophyta, Magnoliopsida, Arecales, Arecaceae.
ACUUAAAAAAUAAGAUAAUGCGAAAAUUUACUUUAUUAGCUUAAUUUUUUGAUAAGUUGUACAUUUAUGAUAGAAAUGGAGCCAUCAAGAAAAACGAACCCUACAAAGCGUGAUAUUGGCUGGUCUUAUGGGCAAAGACUUGGAGGAGAGGGGCAACGACACCAGUUUCAAUGUAACUUUUGCAAUAAGAUUUUCAAGGGAGGGGUAACCAGAUUGAAGCAACACUUAGCCAAAAUUCCAGUAAGGUUGCUACGUGCCCGAAUUGUCCUAGCGAGAUUCGUGUGCUGAUGAAACAGAAUCUCGCUGAAGUCAAAGAAGCGAAGGAGAUGGCUUCCAAGAAGAGGGCGGAGGUCGAUCGCCGAGCGGCAGAACCACCUUCCUAUCACUCUAGGGAGCCAGAGGAGGUUGAGGAUCUAGAUGAGGAGGAGCCAGAUAUUCAGGCGGCCAUGCAUGCAAGCCUGGAUGAUCAGUGGCAGCAUGAGGAGGUGGCCAGGCAUAGGGCUCGAUUUGGGCUCUCUGCAUAUGAGUCGGGCGGCGGUUCUGGGAGCACUAGACAAGAUCCAGGGUUCUUGAGGACAACUUCAGUCAGGGAGGGCGUCGGCAAAGAACGUGGCCGGAUUGCAUCUAUGCUGAGUAGUUUUGGUAGCCGAAAGAAGUCAUUUAGAGGAAUUCCACAAGGAGUGACAAUUCAUGAUGUAGAUCCGCAUGCUUUUCCCAGCAGAGAUUCAAGGCAGCAGAGGGUAGACACAAUGUGGAUGAAGGAUAAGAAGAAAACUAUGUGGCGAGCUAUUGGAUCCUGAUUUCACUUCAGCCAUAUCCCAGCGAAUGUGGCAGACAAUACAUACUACAGGUCUGCCAUUGCCGUCAUACAAGCUGUCGGUCCUGAUGUAGUUCCUCCAGGCCCGAAGGACAUAUACGGUGAGCUUCUUGACAACAAUAAGGAGGAGCUGGAGAAUUGGAUUGACUCGUACAAGAGCAAGUGGCCCAUAUAUAGACUAACCAUCAUGUGCAAUGGUUGGACCGGUUCGACCAGGCGGAGCAUCAUCAACUUCCUGACACACUGUGAUGCGAAGACCUUCUUCCACAAGUCGGUUGAUGCUUCGGCUUAUGUGCACAACACCACGUACAUGCUGAAACUUAUGGAGGAUGUGAUUGAUCUGGUAGGAGAGGAGAAUGUCGUGCAGAUCGUCACUGAUAAUGAGCCGCAAUAUAAGGCUGCCGGGCAGGUCUUGAUGGAGCGGCGACCACAUUUUCUGGACCCCAUGUGCUGCACAUUGUAUCGAUCUCAUGUUGAUGGACAUUGGAAAGAUCCAUAGGGUGCAACAAACGGUGGAGACAGCCCAACGCAUUACCAGGUAUAUUUAUAACCAUAACUGGGUCCUUUCACUGAUGAGAAAGUAUGCAGGAGGAGAGAUUCUGAGACCAGGAGUCACACGAUUUGCUACCAAUUUCAUCGCACUUGAUAGCAUACUCGAGAAGAGAGGAGCUCUACGUCAGAUGUUUGCCAGUCCCGAGUGGUAUGAUAGUAGAUAUUCUUAUGCCGGCACUGAAGGGAGCAAGAUAGAAGAUUUGGUGACGAGGCAGCCAUUCUGGCAGCGGGCUACUAUAAUAGUCAAGGCUAUCAAACCAUUAUAUGAAGUGCUGCGGGCCGUAGAUAGCGAGAUCUACCCCCAGAUGAGGUUUUCAUAUCAUAUGAUGGUCAAGGCAAAGAAUCAGAUUAUGGAGGCAGAUCCAGCAUAUGGCUGGUCAUACAUCAACAUCAUUGAGCAACGGUGGGGAGCGCAAAUGGGUACGGAUUUGCAUCUAGCAGGUAAGCUAAGAUAUAAUUAUAGUAACAAUUAUAGUGAUAGAUGUAAUUAUAUAAUUAUGCUAAGAUAGUCUCGUAUAUGUGCAGUAUACUACCUAAACCCCCGGUUUCAGUACAGCAUAGAUGGAAUUGGUAUGGAUGAAACACUUAUGGAUGCUUUGCGCAAUGUGAUUUACAAGAUGGAGCAUGAUCUAGAAAAAGCGGCCCGAUGUCUUGAAGAGAGCAAAUUAUUUAGAGAGGGCAGCUACAGUUUUGGCCAACGAGCGACUGUCGUCAGCAAACACAAUAUGAAUCCAGGUACGUGACACAUCAGGAAAACAUUCUCCGGUGUUACUUAGUUACUAUUAUGGAACUAUCAUAUAUGUAAUUUUUAUAAAUAUUUUUGCAGCUGAAUGGUAGGUGCAUUUUGGCGGGUCCGCGAAAAAUCUAAAGCGGAUAGCUAUCCGGAUCCUCUUCCAAACAGUCUCCUCUAGUGGCUGUGAGCGCAAUUAGUCCACCUUCGCCCUUAUUCACAGCAAACAAAGAAACCAUUUGACGCAAAAGCGCCUCAACGACCUUAUUUAUGUGCAUUACAAUUUGCGGUUGAGGCUAAAGUGCAUCCAGGAGGAAGCGGAGCUCAAGCAUACAGAUCCGAUUUACGGGACCUUCACUGUUGAUGACGAUAAUCCACUACUCGACUGGCUUGUAGGCCAACAGCAGGAGCCCGAGCUUGACGAGCCAGGAUCGCCUCCACGACCAGCUAGCUUCAUAGCCACCGAAGCUAGGGUCGAUCCAGAGCAAUAGGGUAAGCGCAAUAUUCCACGCACUUUCAGAGCUGAUCAGCCGUAGGCACAAGGGAGCCAGUCACCACAUGAUUGGUACGAGACACCCUCCGAGAGAGCUGAUCGAGAGAUGCUCGACAGACAAGGGCGACAUAGCCAGACAGAGAGGGCCA